AGCUUGAUGGAUUCCGUGUGUACCAGCACGCCGGGGACGUCCGUUAGGGAGUUUAGGGGCCCCGCGGGGUGCCGGCCGAUUUUGAGGGUGGGGAGGAGGUCGCGUAUCCGGGGCCGGGAGUUGGCUUCGUUCGCGGUGUCUGCCGCCAUGCUCUAGUUACUGGUAUUGUUGGAAAAAGGAGAGGUUAAAGAGGUUCAUAUGAAGAUUUCAAACUUGGUAUCACUGAUUUUGACGAAGGGUAAAAGUAGGUAUUUUAUAACCAGUCUGCAGAAUAGCUCCGGGCUCUGUAACGGUUGGCCCACCUUUCAAAGCAUUCAUGGUUAAGGAUCGGUUUGGAUUGAGCAUGAGUCAUCGAUCCACUUUUCUCUCAUAUCUCAAUGUGCUCAGGGAGCAGCAGGUUUGUGAUUUGCAACGAGAGUAGCAUGGUAGCCAUGAUCCUGGGCAGUCUAUCUAUCCAUCCCAGGCCAGUCAGGGAUCUUAGGCAGAAUGAUUAUCUGAUUCUGUGCUGUGGAG
RNAcentral lists this small RNA (513 nucleotides) under Histoplasma capsulatum var. duboisii H88. Its description in RNAcentral is "Histoplasma capsulatum H88 hypothetical RNA". Lineage: Eukaryota; Fungi; Ascomycota; Eurotiomycetes; Onygenales; Ajellomycetaceae. The record is from RNAcentral.